This 364-nucleotide RNase P RNA is filed under the name Candidatus Zhuqueibacterota bacterium. Its description in RNAcentral is "candidate division KSB1 bacterium (microbial mat metagenome) RNase P RNA component class A". It matches the Rfam family "Bacterial RNase P class A". Rfam says of the family: Ribonuclease P (RNase P) is a ubiquitous endoribonuclease, found in archaea, bacteria and eukarya as well as chloroplasts and mitochondria. Its best characterised activity is the generation of mature 5'-ends of tRNAs by cleaving the 5'-leader elements of precursor-tRNAs. Cellular RNase Ps are ribonucleoproteins. The record is from RNAcentral. Lineage: Bacteria; Pseudomonadati.
AAAGCAGGUCAGACAGUCGCGUGUGAUAUUCGAUAUCACAUGAGGAAAGUCCGAACUCCGCAGGGCAGGGUGGUCCGUAACGCGGACGCGUUGUGAGGCGCGGAAAGUGCCACAGAGAACAGACAUUCCGUCAUUGACGGAUUAAGGUGAAACGGCGAGGUAAGAGCUCACCGCCUCAAUGGUGACAUUGAGGGCACGGUAAACCCCACCCGGAGCAAGACCAAAUAUAAGGGGAGAGACGGCCCGUCUUGUUUGACCCUUGGGUAGGUCGCAUGAGUCUGGUGGCAACAUCAGGCCCAGAUAAAUGACUGUCGGUUCGCCUGUCGGCGAAUUACAGAAUUCGGCUUAUCGAUCUGCUUUGUAA